Molecule: ribosomal RNA, 489 nt
Filed under: Penicillium citrinum
Lineage: Eukaryota; Fungi; Ascomycota; Eurotiomycetes; Eurotiales; Aspergillaceae
Description: eukaryotic LSU rRNA
Rfam family: 5.8S ribosomal RNA (bases 131-284)
Source: RNAcentral
GCCCCUCGGGGCCCAACCUCCCACCCGUGUUGCCCGAACCUAUGUUGCCUCGGCGGGCCCCGCGCCCGCCGACGGCCCCCCUGAACGCUGUCUGAAGUUGCAGUCUGAGACCUAUAACGAAAUUAGUUAAAACUUUCAACAACGGAUCUCUUGGUUCCGGCAUCGAUGAAGAACGCAGCGAAAUGCGAUAACUAAUGUGAAUUGCAGAAUUCAGUGAAUCAUCGAGUCUUUGAACGCACAUUGCGCCCUCUGGUAUUCCGGAGGGCAUGCCUGUCCGAGCGUCAUUGCUGCCCUCAAGCCCGGCUUGUGUGUUGGGCCCCGUCCCCCCCGCCGGGGGGACGGGCCCGAAAGGCAGCGGCGGCACCGCGUCCGGUCCUCGAGCGUAUGGGGCUUCGUCACCCGCUCUAGUAGGCCCGGCCGGCGCCAGCCGACCCCCAACCUUUAAUUAUCUCAGGUUGACCUCGGAUCAGGUAGGGAUACCCGCUGAAC